This 433-nucleotide ribosomal RNA is filed under the name uncultured bacterium. RNAcentral describes it as "partial 16S ribosomal RNA". It matches the Rfam family "Bacterial small subunit ribosomal RNA", at positions 29 to 507 of the family's 1533-position model. The record is from RNAcentral.
AACGAACGCUGGCGGCAUGCCUAACACAUGCAAGUCGAACGAGACCUUCGGGUCUAGUGGCGCACGGGUGCGUAACGCGUGGGAACCUGCCCUUAGGUUCGGAAUAACAUCCCGAAAGGGGUGCUAAUACCGGAUAAUGUCUUUGGACCAAAGUUUUUUCGCCUUUGGAUGGGCCCGCGUUGGAUUAGCUAGUUGGUAGGGUAAAAGCCUACCAAGGCGACGAUCCAUAGCUGGUCUGAGAGGAUGAUCAGCCACACUGGGACUGAGACACGGCCCAGACUCCUACGGGAGGCAGCAGUGGGGAAUAUUGGACAAUGGGCGAAAGCCUGAUCCAGCAAUGCCGCGUGAGUGAUGAAGGCCUUAGGGUUGUAAAGCUCUUUUACCCGGGAUGAUAAUGACAGUACCGGGAGAAUAAGCUCCGGCUAACUCCGUG